This 433-nucleotide ribosomal RNA is filed under the name uncultured bacterium. RNAcentral's name for it is "partial 16S ribosomal RNA". It matches the Rfam family "Bacterial small subunit ribosomal RNA", at positions 29 to 507 of the family's 1533-position model. The record is from RNAcentral.
AACGAACGCUGGCGGCAUGCCUAACACAUGCAAGUCGAACGAGACCUUCGGGUCUAGUGGCGCACGGGUGCGUAACGCGUGGGAACCUGCCCUUAGGUUCGGAAUAACUCCCCGAAAGGGGUGCUAAUACCGGAUAAUGUCUUCGGACCAAAGAUUUAUCGCCUUUGGAUGGGCCCGCGUUGGAUUAGCUAGUUGGUAGGGUAAAAGCCUACCAAGGCGACGAUCCAUAGCUGGUCUGAGAGGAUGAUCAGCCACACUGGGACUGAGCCACGGCCCAGACUCCUACGGGAGGCAGCAGUAGGGAAUAUUGGACAAUGGGCGAAAGCCUGAUCCAGCAAUGCCGCGUGAGUGAUGAAGGCCUUAGGGUUGUAAAGCUCUUUUACCCGGGAUGAUAAUGACAGUACCGGGAGAAUAAGCUCCGGCUAACUCCGUG